UUGAGCUCGGAUCAGGUAG
RNAcentral lists this ribosomal RNA (19 nucleotides) under Paragyromitra xinjiangensis. RNAcentral describes it as "Gyromitra xinjiangensis partial 28S ribosomal RNA". Lineage: Eukaryota; Fungi; Ascomycota; Pezizomycetes; Pezizales; Discinaceae. The record is from RNAcentral.